AGAGUUUGAUCCUGGCUCAGAACGAACGCUGGCGGCAGGCUUAACACAUGCAAGUCGAACGGGCGCGAGCAAUCGCGUCAGUGGCAGACGGGUGAGUAACGCGUGGGAACAUACCCUCCGGUUCGGAAUAGCUCAGGGAAACUUGGAUUAAUACCGGAUACGGCAGUCAAGAGCGAUCUUGGAGGCGAAAGAUUGAUCGCCGGAGGAUUGGCCCGCGUUCGAUUAGCUUGUUGGUGAGGUAACGGCUCACCAAGGCGACGAUCGAUAGCUGGUCUGAGAGGAUGAUCAGCCACAUUGGGACUGAGACACGGCCCAAACUCCUACGGGAGGCAGCAGUGGGGAAUAUUGGACAAUGGGCGCAAGCCUGAUCCAGCCAUGCCGCGUGAGUGAUGACGGCCUUAGGGUUGUAAAGCUCUUUCGCUCGGGACGAUAAUGACGGUACCGAGAGAAGAAGCCCCGGCUAACUUCGUGCCAGCAGCCGCGGUAAUACGAAGGGGGCUAGCGUUGUUCGGAAUUACUGGGCAUAAAGCGCGUGUAGGCGGGUCUUUAAGUCAGGGGUGAAAUGCCAGGGCUCAACCUUGGAACUGCCUUUGAUACUGGAGAUCUUGAGUCCGGGAGAGGUGAGUGGAAUUGCGAGUGUAGAGGUGAAAUUCGUAGAUAUUCGCAAGAACACCAGUGGCGAAGGCGGCUCACUGGCCCGGAACUGACGCUGAGACGCGAAAGCGUGGGGAGCAAACAGGAUUAGAUACCCUUGUAGUCC
This 760-nucleotide ribosomal RNA is filed under the name uncultured bacterium. RNAcentral's name for it is "bacterial SSU rRNA". It matches the Rfam family "Bacterial small subunit ribosomal RNA", at positions 8 to 796 of the family's 1533-position model. The record is from RNAcentral.